GAAAUUAGAAUGCAGGGGAAAAACUGUUUAAAAUUAUUUUAAGCCUUUUCCGGACGCAAGCAGGCCUGCCUGUCAUAUCGAUAGCAUCUCUCCUAUCCGUGCACGGCAUUAGAAUACAAAACUAUCAUAAACAUACAACCCGUACAGUUCGAACAUUCAGACAGGCCAGAGUAACUACAAACAUAAUUAAUCAAUUACAGCUCUAAGAAAACAACUCCUAACAGAAAUUAA
RNAcentral lists this long non-coding RNA (231 nucleotides) under Ananas comosus (pineapple). RNAcentral's name for it is "long non-coding RNA (ACOM_LNC019896)". The record is from RNAcentral. Lineage: Eukaryota; Viridiplantae; Streptophyta; Magnoliopsida; Poales; Bromeliaceae.